RNAcentral lists this ribosomal RNA (461 nucleotides) under uncultured bacterium. Its description in RNAcentral is "bacterial SSU rRNA". It matches the Rfam family "Bacterial small subunit ribosomal RNA", at positions 340 to 786 of the family's 1533-position model. The record is from RNAcentral.
UACGGAAGGCAGCAGUGGGGAAUAUUGCACAAUGGGCGAAAGCCUGAUGCAGCUAUGCCGCGUGUAUGAAGAAGGCCUUAGGGUUGUAAAGUACUUUUCAUCGGGGAGGAAAAAACAAAACUAAUAAUUUUAUUUCUUGACGUUACCCGAAAAAGAAGCACCGGCUAACUCCGUGCCAGCAGCCGCGGUAAUACGGAGGGUGCUAGCGUUAAUCAGAAUUACUGGGCGUAAAGAGCACGUAGGUGGUUUUUUUUAAAGUCAGAUGUGAAAUCCCUGGGCUUAACCUGGAACUGCAUUUUGAAACUGAAAUACUAGAGUAUCGUAGAGGGAGGUAGAAUUCUAGGUGUAGCGGUUGAAAUGCGUAGAUAUCUGGAGGAAUACCUGUGGCGAAAGCGGCCUCCUAAACGAAUACUGACACUGAGGGUGCGAAAGCGUGGGGAGCAAACCAGGGAUUAGAUACC